Molecule: ribosomal RNA, 265 nt
Filed under: uncultured Atopobium sp.
Lineage: Bacteria; Bacillati; Actinomycetota; Coriobacteriia; Coriobacteriales; Atopobiaceae
Description: partial 16S ribosomal RNA
Rfam family: Bacterial small subunit ribosomal RNA
Source: RNAcentral
AAAGUGGCGAACGGCUGAGUAACACGUGGGCAACCUGCCCUUUGCACUGGGAUAGCCUCGGGAAACCGAGGUUAAUACCGGAUACUCCAUAUUUGUCGCAUGGCGAAUAUGGGAAAAGCUCCGGCGGCAAAGGAUGGGCCCGCGGCCUGUUAGCUAGUUGGUGGGGUAGUGGCCUACCAAGGCAAUGAUGGGUAGCCGGGUUGAGAGACCGACCGGCCAGAUUGGGACUGAGACACGGCCCAGACUCCUACGGGAGGCAGCAGAU